This 497-nucleotide ribosomal RNA is filed under the name uncultured bacterium. RNAcentral describes it as "partial 16S ribosomal RNA". It matches the Rfam family "Bacterial small subunit ribosomal RNA", at positions 28 to 507 of the family's 1533-position model. The record is from RNAcentral.
GAUGAACGCUGGCGGCGUGCCUAAUACAUGCAAGUCGAGCGAACGGACGAGAAGCUUGCUUCUCUGAUGUUAGCGGCGGACGGGUGAGUAACACGUGGAUAACCUACCUAUAAGACUGGGAUAACUUCGGGAAACCGUAGCUAAUACCGGAUAAUAUUUUGAACCGCAUGGUUCAAAAGUGAAAGAUGGUCUUGCUGUCACUUAUAGAUGGAUCCGCGCUGCAUUAGCUAGUUGGUAAGGUAACGGCUUACCAAGGCAACGAUGCAUAGCCGACCUGAGAGGGUGAUCGGCCACACUGGAACUGAGACACGGUCCAUACUCCUACGGGAGGCAGCAGUAGGGAAUCUUCCGCAAUGGGCGAAAGCCUGACGGAGCAACGCCGCGUGAGUGAUGAAGGUCUUCGGAUCGUAAAACUCUGUUAUUAGGGAAGAACAUAUGUGUAAGUAACUGUGCACAUCUUGACGGUACCUAAACAGAAAGCCACGGCUAACUACGUG